Cavia aperea (Brazilian guinea pig) is the source of this 107-nucleotide small nuclear RNA. NCBI's taxonomy places the organism in Eukaryota, Metazoa, Chordata, Mammalia, Rodentia, Caviidae. The record is from Ensembl.
GUGCUAACUUCAACAGCACAUAUACUAAAACUGGAAUAAUACAGAGAAGAUUAGAAUGGCCUGUGCAUAGGGAUGACAUGAAGAUUUGUGAAGUGUUUCAUAUUUUU